UAAUUUUUUGUAUUUUUAGUAGAGACGGGGUUUCACUGUGUUGGCCAGGAUGGUCUCGAUCUCCUGACCUCGUGAUCCGCCCGCCUCCGCUUUCCCAAAGUGCUGGGAUUACAGGCGUAAGCCACCGCACCCGGCCAGGAAAAUGUUAUUGUUUGGAAUUAGCAUUAAGAUAUUCUGUAUACCUUUUUUAACUUAUUUUUUUAUUCACAGACUUGACAAAACAAAGCACCCUGCGAGAGAAAUCCUGAGCUUGGAGGAUCUGACAAAGGAGCGUCUUCAUGUACCCCACACAGGGUCAUGUUACUCACCAAGGCAGGGCACUAACAUCACACCCCGUCUUUCAUCAGUGGAUAAUGAAAGGCAGUUGAGACUCUUUGCAGUGAUUUAUGGAGUUUCGCUCUUGUUGCCCCGGCUGGAGUGCAAUGGCAUGAUCUCGGCUCACCUUAACCUCUGCCUCCCAGGUGUUAAAGGUGACUGUCUACAAGCUGGGAAGAGAGCCCUCACUAGGAACAGAAUUGGCCAGCAU
This is a long non-coding RNA of Gorilla gorilla gorilla (western lowland gorilla), 526 nucleotides long. RefSeq lists it as uncharacterized. The transcript is spliced from 3 exons. Lineage: Eukaryota; Metazoa; Chordata; Mammalia; Primates; Hominidae. The record is from RefSeq and is a predicted model, not a curated record.